AUACAAAGAAAUUCUCUGCCCAAGGACCAUUUAUAUACUGUUUGUAGAAGGGUGGGGCAGCUCCCCCUGCCCCGUGGCACACACUGGCCACAGAUGAAAGUGCCUGGUGGUGCUGGGCUCUCACCCGCAGUGGAACAAUGCCUCAUCUGUGCUUGCUUUCUAUCACUGCUGUCAAUACCACAUGGGGUAAGGAACCAAAACCAGAACCCAACCUCAAACUGAAAGCACCCAGCCAGAGUUAGGGCACUGCAACACAGUCCCUCCCUGUUCCCAAGGGCUGACAAAAGGAGAACACAGCCCUGCUCAUGUGUUUUGGGGGCCUAUCUCCUGAGGAGUUCUAAGCACUCUCCGGCCUUGAUCAACUUGAUCAGGAUCACACACAUCUGGGGAAGAAGAGGGAAGGCACUUGUGUCACCUUCAUUGGAGGGAGGAGAACCAGCCAUUGUUGUCACCAGCACAACCCAAGUCUCUGAUUCUGGGGGUCUGCAAUCUUGAGGUGAACUAUCCAAGGAGAGAGCUACUAUUCCAGCCGAGGUGCCCAGAUGAGACAGCAGGGGAAUUCCUGCUACCUGGAUGCUAGAGUUCCUGGGCUUUCAUCCCGGUUCCAAGCCUGGGUUUCUAGCCACUUGUCCAGUCUGUGAGCUAUCUGGAUCUCCCCUAAUAAAUUCAUGCUUUCUUAUCA
This is a long non-coding RNA of Callithrix jacchus (white-tufted-ear marmoset), 682 nucleotides long. RefSeq lists it as uncharacterized. Lineage: Eukaryota; Metazoa; Chordata; Mammalia; Primates; Cebidae. The record is from RefSeq and is a predicted model, not a curated record.